UACGUAGGGUGCGAGCGUUGUCCGGAAUUACUGGGCGUAAAGAGCUCGUAGGUGGUUUGUCGCGUUGUUCGUGAAAUCUCACGGCUUAACUGUGAGCGUGCGGGCGAUACGGGCAGACUAGAGUACUGCAGGGGAGACUGGAAUUCCUGGUGUAGCGGUGGAAUGCGCAGAUAUCAGGAGGAACACCGGUGGCGAAGGCGGGUCUCUGGGACGUUACUGACGCUGAGACGCGAAAGCGUGGGGAGCAAACAGG
This 253-nucleotide ribosomal RNA is filed under the name uncultured bacterium. RNAcentral describes it as "partial 16S ribosomal RNA". It matches the Rfam family "Bacterial small subunit ribosomal RNA", at positions 524 to 776 of the family's 1533-position model. The record is from RNAcentral.